UCGGGGAGCGAAAUUAUAGUAGCGAAGUCCGGAUACAUGCUGUCAAGAAAAGCCGCUAUUGCGCCAUAUGUACCCGUACCGUAAACCGACACAGGUGGAUGAGGAGAGAAUCCUAAGGCCGGCGGGAGAAGUGUUGUUAAGGAACUCGGCAAAAUGGCCCCGUAACUUCGGGAGAAGGGGCGCCCAGAAAUGGGCCGCAGAGAAAAGGCUCAAGCAACUGUUUAGCAAAAACACAGGUCUAUGCGAAACCGAAAGGUGAGGUAUAUGGGCUGACGCCUGCCCGGUGCUGGAAGGUUAAGGGGAGAGGUUAGCCGCAAGGCGAAGCUUUAAACUUAAGCCCCAGUAAACGGCGGCCGUAACUAUAACGGUCCUAAGGUAGCGAAAUUCCUUGUCGGGUAAGUUCCGACCCGCACGAAAGGCGUAAUGAUUUGAGCACUGUCUCGACAACACACCCGGUGAAAUUGAAAUACCAGUGAAGAUGCUGGUUACCUGCGCCAGGACGGAAAGACCCCAUGGAGCUUUACUCUAGUUUGAUACUGGGACCCGGUAUGACAUGUACAGGAUAGGUGGGAGGCAGAGAAUUAAUGACGCCAGUCAUUAAGGAGCCGCUGUUGGGAUACCACCCUUGUGAUGCCAGGUUUCUAACGAGCUGCCGUGAACCGGCAGGCGGACAAUGUCAGGCGGGGAGUUUGACUGGGGCGGUCGCCUCCGAAAGGGUAUCGGAGGCGCUCAAAGGUUCCCUCAGAAUGGUUGGAAACCAUUCGGAGAGUGCAAAGGCAGAAGGGAGCCUGACUGCGACACCGUCGGGUGGAGCAGGUACGAAAGUAGGACUUAGUGAUCCGGUGGUAUAAAGUGGGAUUGCCAUCGCUCAACGGAUAAAAGCUACCCUGGGAUAACAGGCUUAUCACUCCCAAGAGUUCACAUCGACGGAGUGGUUUGGCACCUCGAUGUCGGCUCAUCGCAUCCUGGGGCUGGAGUAGGUCCCAAGGGUUGGGCUGUUCGCCCAUUAAAGCGGUACGCGAGCUGGGUUCAGAACGUCGUGAGACAGUUCGGUCCCUAUCCGGCGCGGGCGUAAGAGAUUUGAGAGGAGCUGUCCUUAGUACGAGAGGACCGGGAUGGACGGACCACUGGUGUAUCUGUUGCACCACCAGGUGCACGGCAGAGUAGCCAAGUCCGGACGGGAUAAACGCUGAAGGCAUCUAAGCGUGAAGCCCCCCUCAAGAUGAGAUCUCUCAUUCGAAAGAAGUAAGACCCCUUGAAGACGACGAGGUAGUUAGGGCAGAGGUGGAAGGGCAGUAAUGUCCGGAGCUGACUGUUACUAAUCGGUCGAGGGCUUGACCAA
This 1342-nucleotide ribosomal RNA is filed under the name metagenome. RNAcentral describes it as "bacterial LSU rRNA". It matches the Rfam family "Bacterial large subunit ribosomal RNA", at positions 1564 to 2925 of the family's 2925-position model. The record is from RNAcentral.